GAUGAACGCUGGCGGCGUGCUUAACACAUGCAAGUCGGACGGAAAGUGGUGUUUCUUGUUGCGCUCGGGUGAGUAACGCGUAAGAACCUGCCCUGGGGAUGGGAACCACAGUUGGAAACGGCUGCUAAUACCCCGUAGGCCUAGGAGCAAAAGAAGGAAUCCGCCCGAGGGUGGGCUCGCGUCUGACUAUCUAGUUGGUGAAGCAAUAGCUUACCAAGGUGCUGAUCAGUAGCUGGUAGGAGAGGAUGAUCAGCCACACUGAGACGGAGACACGGCGCAGGGUACUACGGGAGGAAGCCGUGAGGAUUACGGAGCAAUGGGGCGUAGGUGGACGGGGCCUUGCGGCGGGGAGGUAGUAGGACUAGGGGUCAAGAACUUCUUUACCCGGAGAAGAAGCAAUGACGGUACCUGGGGAAUAAGCAACGGCUAACUAUGUG
This 437-nucleotide ribosomal RNA is filed under the name uncultured bacterium. Its description in RNAcentral is "partial 16S ribosomal RNA". It matches the Rfam family "Bacterial small subunit ribosomal RNA", at positions 28 to 507 of the family's 1533-position model. The record is from RNAcentral.